Molecule: long non-coding RNA, 2216 nt
Organism: Silurus meridionalis
Lineage: Eukaryota; Metazoa; Chordata; Actinopteri; Siluriformes; Siluridae
Exons: 2
Source: RefSeq, a predicted model, not a curated record
CCGCUCAUUUGCAUAAUCGUGCCAAUUAUUAUAUCAUGUCACCGUGAAUGAACCUGGUCGGGACUCGAAGUGUGAACCCACCGUCUGGAGAAGUUCCCUCUCUCAUACACUCAGAAAGUAGAGGUGGAGGUUGGUGACAUCAACUCAGACUUCAGGGUUUCCAGUGGAGAACUGACAAGACUUGGAGUGACGUCAUGUCAGUAACGAGAGCUGAAUCAAAUUUUAAUUAUGGAUGACCAAAAAGGUCUAAACGCUCGUAGAACUAUAUCAAUCAGGUUAUGCUGUUUCCUGCUAAUUUAUCGAAUGUAUAGUAAAGUGUGUAGCAACAAAACAAUUACAGUGGAACCUCGAUACUCGCGACCUUGACACUCACGACCUUGAUAGUUUGCGACUUUUUCAACUCGUGAACAAUCUGAUUUCACGAGAAGCCGCGAGUGGCUCGAAAGUUAGGAGCAACAUUUCAAAACAAGUAACAUUUUGGCUCAGAAUGAUAACAUUUUACUAUCUGUAUGUCUUAAGAUGAUUUCUUGGCUUUUUUCACCCUGCUACCAUUAGAAAUACGAUGAAAAUCAAGAAUAUAAAACAUCAAACAGGGAACGGAUGUAAAAUCUGGAAUGGAGUUUAGAAAUGUCACGCAAGGAACAUAUUUCCAAUGGAAACCGCCAAUGUUCAUAGACUUUUAUUGUAAAAACUACACCAUGACAGCAUGAUAAAGUGUAACAGCCGGCCUGAUUGAACUCAACAUAAAGACCAUGAAGCAAAACUGAACUAAAACCCAGACGUCUAAAACACCCAUCAGGCACUUGGGAGGGAAAAAUUAAAAUAAAACGAGUUGUAACAGACACAGGAAGUGAGUGCAGCAAUGAAAGAUCAUCAUCUUCCACAUCUUCCUCAUGAUUUACAUUAAAGAGUUAAUGGGAGUGUUUCAGUGAUUCAACAUCGCUAAAGAUGCACAUUUCAUCACAUAGUAACAAUAUUUUCAAGAUUUCUAAGCACGUCGUAUAUAAUCCAUUAUACAUCGUGUGUCUCUGCAUCACCCCGUCCACCUGACGUUAACAUCAAGAACAUUAUCUGGUGUCUUGUCCUCCAGUGGUCUCUCUCUCUCUCUCUCUCUCUCUCUCUCUCUCUCUCUCACACACACACUCAAUAAAAUCGCUCACAAUGAUCACCGCUCGACUCCGCCCUUUAUGUUCACGUCAUAAUUUUGCCUAUAUAUUUUUUUUUGUCCUAUAACGAACGUUUGUUUUCUUGGCUAUAAUAUUUGUAAAGGAGGCUCAGGAAUAAAUAUUGGCACCCUUCAUUUAACCUCCAUCUCAUGCAGCAGGAGAAUUUUGCUAAAUUUAAAACUAAAAUAAAAAAGUUAUAAUAUACAUUUAGGGUUGUGUGAGGAUCAGGUCUCAUUAAAAAAAAAAAAACAAAAAAAAAAAAAAAAAAAAAAAACAAAACAUUCAUCACUGAAGGGUGCCAAUAUUUUUUUUGUAAAAGGUGGAGGGGAAGCGGGGUGUACAGUGUAAUCCCCCAAUCAAACUAAAAGCAAUGUCCUGAACAAACAUCAGUCACCAGACCUGUUUUUUUUUUUUGUUCUAAAGGGUGGCAAUAUUUUUUUUCUUUUCCCCAACAACAGGUAGAUGAUGAUAAUAUUAGUGAUGUUAAGAUGGAGGACUUAAGUAACUUGCUGGAGGAAAACACAGACUGUUGUGUUCGUGGCUUCAAAGAAGGAAAAAAAUGUAAAAACAAAAAACAAAGAAAACACCUUAUUGCACAUUACGAUGUUUCUCUAAAAGUGAUUUUUGCAUCAUUUGUUAUUUUUAAACCAAACGGCUGCUCUAUUGCUACACGCAGCACUGAUCAACAGAAUUGAAGUACAUUAGAGGGGUCUUGGUGGUGCUUCAUAAUAAUGGGGGUUACUGAUGGUGGUGUUUGUUGAUGGUGGUGUUUGUUGUUGGUGGUGCUUCAUAAUAAUGGGGGUUACUGAUGGUGGUGUUUGUUGAUGGAGGUUAUUAUUGGUGGUGUUUGUUGAUGGUGGUGUUUGUUGAUGGAGGUUAUUAUUGGUGGGGUUUGUUGGUGGAGGUGUUUGUUGAUGAAGGUUAUUAUUGGUGGGGUUUGUUGUUGGUGGAAUUUACAAUGGUGGUUAUUAAUGAUGUUUUUAUUUGAAGGUGGUAUCUGUUAAUGGUGGUGUCUAGUGUUAUUAAUGGUGUUUGUUGAUGAUGGUGGUG